Molecule: long non-coding RNA, 1457 nt
Organism: Bos taurus (domestic cattle)
Lineage: Eukaryota; Metazoa; Chordata; Mammalia; Artiodactyla; Bovidae
Source: Ensembl
AGAGCCAGAGACGCUGCUCCCGCGGGAGGCCGCCCGCUACCUGGGGCGCCCGCCAGCGCCUCCUUCCCGGAUCCCAGCCGCCCCUGAUCCCGGGUUCCUCCAGGCCCGCAGCACCGUCCAGCCACCUCACUUGCCCUUCCCGCUUCGAGGCCAGCCGCUGGCCCGGCUACCUUCUCGGACAUCCUGGGGCGCCCCCCGCCCCAACCUCCUUGCAGCCUGGCCCAUCUCUGAGUCCCACCCGAGGUUGGGUACCAAGGCCUCCAGCUUCCGGGCCCCGUGACACCACCUCAGGGGUGCAGGCUGCUUCCACCUGCUGAGGCGCUGGGCCCAGCGAGCCCCCUCAGAAAGGCUGCGGUGGCGGUGCGGGGGUCUGUCUCCAGGCGUGCUGAGGGGCUUUGCCGAGACCCUGUCUCCUGCCCUUGGGCCCUCCACAUCCCUCAGGGAGACAGCCUUGGUCUGUUAGUGUCCUGGUUGUCAGAGUGACAGCGCUCGCUGACUCUCCUGAACAAGCCGAGGGAAGCCUGACUGGCCGGUGGACAAGGCCGCACUUUUUCACCCAAGUGGACGGUGGGAGGGACUCCUGCGGCCCCUCCGCGUGCCCGACCUGCAGGAGACUGUGGCACUAUAGGCACAAAUCUGACCAGGCCCUCCCCACAUGUCCUCUCCUGUGGUUUCCUCGCACCGAAGAUCCACCUAACAUUCGUGGAGCUGGCCCAUGGGCCACGACCCGGGGUGCCUCUUCCUUGCCUACCACCUUCUGGUCCUGCAGGGUUCAGCUCAGCUGCUCUCUGGUCCAGGAAGCUGGAGAGGAGGCUGAGAGGGGCCUUGACCCAAGCGCAUACCCACACAGCCUUCCACGUCCAACCGAGUUUUCCGCCUUUGUCCUGGUGCCUGAAGCUGCCGGUACCGAAGACAUGAUGCCAAGGGACCCAGGGCGCUUUCCCUCUGCCUCUGAUCCCACACUGCAUUGGUGUCCCAUCUUCUUUGGUUCCUCUGGGCUGUGACCGUCCUCGUUUUUGGUGUCUUGGAGGAGGUCCUGGAGGACUCCUUGGAGUUUUUCUGGUUUUCAUAUCUCGAGAUAACAGGGUGAUGGUUAUUGAAAGGAAGCCCGUGGAAGUAAAGUGUCGUUCUCAUCACACCCCAGCAGGACGUCGUGCUUUCCACAUGACUCCCACUGUCAGUGUUGACCUCGGUCACCUGGUCGUGGUAGUUCAACGGAUGUCCCCGUUUUCAUCCUGUCCUCUUGGGAAUGAAGUCACUGUGCACGGCCCACCCUUGAUGAGUGGUGGUUAUGCUCCCGAGAUAGGAAGAAAGGGGCCAAGGCACAAUCCUUAAAGAAUGACACACCCAUUGAGAAAAGCAGGAUAUGACAGAAACUGGUUAAAACUGAUUAUGUCCAAGAUGGCAGAAGAUUCUACUUUCAGUAGACCUUGAGCCCCAAUGUACUGCAUUAACAU